GACGAACGCUGGCGGCGUGCUUAACACAUGCAAGUGGAACGACGAACCAGGGCUUGCCCUGGGGGCAGAGCCGCGAACGGGUGAGUAACACGUGGGUAACCUACCCCGAUGAUUGGGACAACCCGAGGAAACUCGGGCUAAUACCGAAUGUGCUCACGCGCCAUCAGGCGCGUGUGGAAAGGAAGCUUCGGCCUCCGCAUCGGGAUGGGCCCGCGGCCCAUUAGCUUGUUGGUGAGGUAACGGCUCACCAAGGCUGCGAUGGGUAGCUGGUCUGAGAGGACUAUCAGCCACACUGGGACUGAGACACGGCCCAGACUCCUACGGGAGGCAGCAGUGGGGAAUCUUGCGCAAUGCGCGAAAGCGUGACGCAGCAACGCCGCGUGGGGGAAGACGG
This 394-nucleotide ribosomal RNA is filed under the name uncultured bacterium. RNAcentral's name for it is "bacterial SSU rRNA". It matches the Rfam family "Bacterial small subunit ribosomal RNA", at positions 28 to 414 of the family's 1533-position model. The record is from RNAcentral.